GAAAAAUUUCUAUAUUUAUCUUUUAAAUUUUAUUUAAUUAAUUGAUUAAUUUCUAAUUUAUUUAAAUUGAUCGUUGAAAACAAACAAAAAUUAUGUCGAUUCACUUCCAAUUUGGUUUCUCAAUGAAAACCCUUCAACUCUAAUAUCCCUUCUCCAAAUUCUUAAUCAUCAAUGCAAAUGCGUUUUCAUUUUCAACACUUCUAUCUCUCUCCCUGUUUUCUGUUUUCUCUCUGUUUCCCCUUAAACCCUAAUACAGCCGCCCUUUUAUCUACCCAAUUUACACCCUCCACCACCCUAAUAGAAAAACCAAUGACAUAUUUGUACUCCUCAUCUCACGAUCUUCUUACUGAAUCUGUUAGAUUUUUGUUUCGAGCAACUUCGCCACUGAUUUUCGUUUCUCCUUAUCCUACCAUCGCAACUCGAAACGGAAAAAAGAAAUGUUUUUCUUGCUCUUCUCAUUAUUCUCAGGUUUGUAAUAGAUUAUAUGCUACGUUUGCUGUUGAUAAUGAAGCUGAGCUAUUGAAAAAAAUCACAAGCAUAAUUUCAAGGGUAAUUAUGGAAGAACACAUGAAGAUGAUGUUGUAUUAUUCCGAAGCAAAUGGUUUGAAUGUGAUUCGUCGUGUUGUUACACAAUUUUGGUAUAAAUGCUUGAAAUGACAAGUGUUGAUAAAUGAAGGUAGAUUUAUCUCACUUUCCCACCCAUUGUAAAUUAAGAGGAAAGGUGUGAACUCUAAGGAAAAUCAUACACAAUACUACAAUAGCAAUGUUAUCUAAUCUUUCAGCUGCUUUGUUGGUCCCUAGGUGUGAAAUUUGUUUUAAUUUCUCAUUUUGAAAUGUAUAUUUGUUUUGAAAUUUUUAUGUUGUGUUUGAUAAGGAUGGUGUUCUUGAGAAAAUCAAAGGAAAAGGUUAUAUUGACAUGUCAACCUAUGUUGGUAUGCUCAGUUGUUGCUGAAAUAUUGGUAUGCUCAGGUGUUGCUGAAAAGUAACUUUCCACCUUUGUUUGUAAAACUUUUGAUUCUGCAACCGAGGUACUAAGCUACCCCUAUUUUUCCUACUGAUUUACAUGUAUCUUUAACUUUAUAUUUGGAUGUAAACCCUUCAUUAAUAGUAUCUACAUGUUGCACUUUAGAUGCACCUCUUUGCAUAAUGUAUUUAUAACUUAAUACCUUGAUGGUCCAAGUCCAACAAUAAUUGAAUAACUUAAGGCUGCCUAUUAUAGACCUGUAAAUGUAAUGAGUAACUUUCUGUUUAUUCCAUCUUAUGUUUGGUGGGAAGCUAUCUCACUAACGUAGAAGUAAUUUUUAGGCUGGUAACUCAUCUUGAUGAAGAAUAAUUGAUAGCUAUCAAUAAUCUUCACUCUACUGCACCAUAAGUUCUCAAUUAUCCUAUUGUGAGUUUUCAAUACUAAACAUGUGCUGCUAUUUUAUUGUGAGCAUUUGGCAAUGAAUGCUUCUUCUUCAACUUAUUUCAGUUCUUACAUCAAAGGUUCUGACAUUUUGACUCUCUACUAUAGUUUUUUAGUUUGUUAUAAAUUUUGAAGUGGUUUCAUUUGUACUAAAUUCAAUGAUGUUAAAAAUAUUUUUCUGCUACAUUUUAUUGUACACUAUGUUUGAUUUUUCUCCUAAAUUCAAACUUUUCAUUUUUCAGUGUAACAGGCUUCAUAUUCCGUCCAAUUGUUGUCAUAGGAAAUUUCAAACGCAUUUGAUGUUUGUGGCUUUUGCAAGAGCUUGUGUCUUUUGAAUUUAUGUAUGAGAUAAGAUGAUGGCAUAUUUAUCAUUACUUGUGUACUGCAGGUUUCUGUAGCUAAUAAAGUGAUUAUACCGGUAAUGAUGGUUGUUAAAUUUAUUGAUAUCAAAGUUAGUUUCCCCGAUGAUAAAAUAAUGCACCUUCUCAUUCAAAAUUAUGAUUAUGUAUUAGAUUAUGAAAAUCGGUUCUCGACUUUUAGUAUUUGAUUUUGGCAUAUUGGUUGUAUACUGAUUUUUCUCUUCUUUUUUAAUUAGUUUUCAACUUUUGUUCACUUAUUUGAAUUUUGUACUGAUUUUUUUAUACAUAAAUUGAGGCAAGGAAUAAUUUAUUUAUCUACUUCAAUUGACAAAUUUGACUCAAUGGGAUUGCUCUUUUUUAUCACCUUUUCAUGGCUUUUAGAAGAAUCUACAAGGUUAGAGUGAAAAUCUUAUUACUUUUUCUUACUCCAAAACUUCUAAUAUCAUGUCAGUAUAGUUAAAAUAAUGAGGCUAGAUUUUAAUAUAGUUUCUGGUGCAAGGGGAAGUUGAAAUGCAACUUAUAAUUGUGACUAUAUUUAUGUGGAAACAACAAUGAAAUUAAAGUUUAUAUAAUUCUUACUGACGCUAUAGAAAAAUUUCAUUUUAUCCACUAAGGCAAAGAAAAGAAUUAAAAUGAAAAAUAUAGAUUAGGCAAAGAAAAGAAUUAAAAUGAAAAAUAUAGAAACAAAUCGUGGAAUUAAAGUGUGGAAUAAUGACACAUCAUUAAGGUAAUUUCAUUUUAGAUUUUAUAAUUAAAUUUUUGUUGUUAAUUAACAAUAAAAUUCAAUUAUAAAAUUAGUUAGUCUGAAUUUUGCAAGUGAUAUAUUUAAUAUUGUUUUCAUUUUUAAAUGAUGUUUGAGAUUUAAUUUUUGUUUUUUUUUAUUGAUUUUUAUACUCCUUAUGUUCAUGUAUUUUUCAAAGAAGUCUAUUGUUCCUAUUUGAUACAUCAAUGGUGGAACAUCAAGAAAACUCGACGAAAUUUCAGAAUCCGAAGGUCUCAAGGUUCCAUAAAACUAGCUGAAUUUGGUUUAAGAAGUUAAGUGAAAUUAAGCAUGGUGAUGUGUUUAUGAUGAAGAACUCUACAGAUCGGUAUCAGGAGUUAUGAGAAAAAUCAAGAAGUUAUACUUGACAAGAAGUCUAGAGAACCAACUAUGUUUGGUUGAUGAUGUUUACUCCUUUUAAUACAUUUAGUGCAGCAUUUAUAGGGUUCUUAAUUAUACAUGUUAGGAUUAUAUUUGGACAAAAACUUUAGAAAGUUGGAUUCAUUUUUGUCGGAUGUUAAAUAAAGAAAGCACGUAAAUUAAUUUGUAGUGCUUAAAUAUUUUUAUUUUGAGUAGUUAGCAUAAAAAAAUUUAUCCGUGCCUUGCACGGGUAUACACAAUAGUAUAAAACAAUUUUAAUCAAAGUCAAUUUUAUCAAAUUCAUUCAAAAUCAAAGUGAAAGAUAAGGCAUCUGAGUGUAAAGCAAAACAAUAACUAACGAUGCCGUUACUAUCCGCCGCAGUUUCCGCUCUCAACUCUUUCUCACCUACCAUUACCGCCCAAUCCACCUUCCCUCCAAAACGCAAUGUUCCCCUCUCCCCUCAAAUUUUCUCCCGCAGAAACAUAUCAUUACUCUCAUUCCUCUUCAUCUCCGCACCCGCCUCCGCCAUUGAUAUUGGCAUCUCAGGACCAAAGGAUUGGCUAAGAGAGCAAAAGAAGAAAUCAUCCAAGUUUUUACUAGCUCCCGUUGAUGCUUCCCGCGAAACUCUUCGCUCUGUAUAUCUUUCUCUCACGGAAACCAGUGCUGCUUUUACCGAUGAGGAUUUUCAGAAAUUUCAGCAGCUAUUCAGAUCUGCUGCCAGAGAUUGUGUCCCGCAGGAUAGGAAUUCUUUCGUCGCUUUCCAAGCUAACACCGGUGUUGAGGUGUGCACAUUUCGGUUGGUUGUAAAGAAUGCAGCCUCCUUACUUGGAAAGAAGGAUCCUGUAAAGUUAGAAGCUGAAGCUUUGCUAGAUAAUCUUAUAAGAUCUUUCACAUCUAUCAGUGGAAUGGCAAGUGAAACCAACAUUGAUCUUGCGUCAGAUAGGAGAAAGAUAGCAGAAGCCAUAUCGGAUACAAUAACAUGUCUCGACAAAUUUGAGCAAGGAAUCAGGAAUUGUCUUGAAAUCUGAGACUGUAAAUAGUCUGUUCUACUUUUCAAAGUGGAAGCAAUACUGCCGUAACGUGAAAUAUUGGCGCUUGGCUGUAUCUAAAGUCUCAAACUCAACAAAUGUACUAUCGAGCGUUGUCAGAAUACAAUUUGGAUUAAUAAAUAGACCUGAAUCUCGUUCUUACCCUGAAUUGAGCCGCUCGAUUUACCGAUCUGACAAUUGGGUUUAUUUGUGUGUGAAUACUUAUUCACCUGGAGAAUCUUCUAUUGAGAGCCCAAUUUUUUGUCGUCGUCAAUGUGCUGACAACUGAGAAUAUCAAAAUAUGUUUUUGUGCUGGUUAAAGUCGAAUUUUGAUCGGGUGAACCAGAAGCUUCCACUAAGUACAAGCGACAGCAAGGUGCUCCGUCCUCUGGAUUGGUUUGUAAUGACCUAGGCAAGCUGCGGAGCUUGUUGAAGAGAUUUAACGGAUCAUUCAAGAGGCCAAAAUGAGCAUCUGGGUCUCCAAUUUGUGAAAGUUUUACAUGAGUGAACCCAAUAGAUGGCAAAAGUUGGUCUGGCCAAUCACUGUAAAAUUGGAAGACUGAAUUGGAUAGUGUGGUUGACGACUUAUUCAUGAAGUCUGCUAUGAUGACUGUGUGAGUUAAGACACAAUUGUUAGCUAAAAUCCUCAGCAGUUGCAUGGCAUUGGAUUGGGCGAGGUAGUACAAGAUACCUUCUAGAAUCCAAACUGUGCUCUUUUGUGGCAAGAAACCUGCAAUUUGAAGCUUUUCCAUCCAAUCAUUUUCUCUUAUGUCUGCUGCUACUCUAGUUAGUGAUUUUGCUUUUGACAUACUAUGUUGUGAGUCAAAUAUGGAUUCCUUAGCUGCUUGCAGAAUAGUGCUUUUCACCUCCAAGACUUCUGCAAAAUCAACCUCAAAGACAUCACUGUCCUUUAAGCAAUUCAAACGAUAUGCUCUCGUGUCCAUUCCUGCAUCAAAUUUUGCAAGAGUAUAUAUUAGCUAACUUGAAUGACUAUAAUCCUUUCUAGUGCAGAUCUUCGAGGUUUCAUUGGCAGCGAUAAUGAUUAGAUGCUGCUGGUCAGAGUGGAUGUGGUCCAACUUUGUUCUCUCUAAUGAUCGCUGCGGACUUAAGUGCUCUUGUUUAAAAUGUGCUGUUACAUUUUAAUCAUGUCUGAAAGGUCCUGCUUGUAUCCACAAAUUGACUAGCAGUAGAAUAAAUGAAGAUAAUAUGAAAGAUACCAUGUCUUAAAAGGUUUAAA
Molecule: RNA transcript, 5150 nt
Organism: Vicia villosa (hairy vetch)
Lineage: Eukaryota; Viridiplantae; Streptophyta; Magnoliopsida; Fabales; Fabaceae
Exons: 10
Source: RefSeq, a predicted model, not a curated record